Molecule: ribosomal RNA, 513 nt
Filed under: uncultured bacterium
Lineage: Bacteria
Description: partial 16S ribosomal RNA
Rfam family: Bacterial small subunit ribosomal RNA
Source: RNAcentral
GAUGAACGCUGGCGGCGCGCCUAAUACAUGCAAGUCGAGCGAACAGACGAGGGGCUUGCUCCUCUGACGUUAGCGGCGGACGGGUGAGUAACACGUGGAUAACCUACCUAUAAGACUGGGUUAACUUCGGGAAAUCGGCGCUAAUACCGUAGAAUAUAAUUAACAGCAUGGUUCACUAGUGAAAGACGGUUUUGCUCUUACUUAUAGAUGAAUCCGCGCCGCAUUAGCUAGUUGGUAAGGUAACGGCUUACUAAGGCAACGAUGCGUAGCCGACCUGAGAGGGUGAUCGGCCACACUGGAACUGAGACACGGUCCAGACUCUUACGGGAGGCAGCAGUAGGGAAUCUUCCGAAAUGGGCGAAAGCCUGACGGAGCAACGCCGCGUGAGUGAUGAAGGUCUUCGGAUCGUAAAACUCUGUUAUUAGGGAAGAACAAAUGUGUAAGUAACUAUGCACGUCUUGACGGUACCUAAUCAGAAAGCCACGGCUAACUACGUGCCAGCCGCCGCCGUAA